UAGGGAAUCUUCCACAAUGGACGCAAGUCUGAUGGAGCAACGCCGCGUGAGUGAAGAAGGUUUUCGGACCGUAAAGCUCUGUUGUUGGUGAAGAAGGAUAGAGGUAGUAACUGGCCUUUAUUUGACGGUAAUCAACCAGAAAGUCACGGCUAACUACGUGCCAGCAGCCGCGGUAAUCGUAGGUGGCAAGCGUUGUCCGGAUUUAUUGGGCGUAAAGCGAGCGCAGGCGGAAGAAUAAGUCUGAUGUGAAAGCCCUCGGCUUAACCGAGGAAUUGCAUCGGAAACUGUUUUCUUGAGUGCAGAAGAGGAGAGUAGAACUCCAUGUGUAGCGGUGGAAUGCGUAGAUAUAUGGAAGAAUACCAGUGGCGAAGGCGGCUCUCUGGUCUGCAACUGACGCUGAGGCUCGAAAGCAUGGGUAGCGAACAGGAUUAGAUACCCUGGUAGUCCAUGCCGUAAACGAUGAGUGCUAAGUGUUGGGAGGUUUCCGCCUCUCAGUGCUGCAGCUAACGCAUUAAGCACUCCGCCUGGGGGAGUACGACCGCAAGGUUGAAAC
Molecule: ribosomal RNA, 553 nt
Filed under: uncultured bacterium
Lineage: Bacteria
Description: partial 16S ribosomal RNA
Rfam family: Bacterial small subunit ribosomal RNA
Source: RNAcentral